RNAcentral lists this ribosomal RNA (372 nucleotides) under uncultured bacterium. RNAcentral describes it as "bacterial SSU rRNA". It matches the Rfam family "Bacterial small subunit ribosomal RNA", at positions 524 to 898 of the family's 1533-position model. The record is from RNAcentral.
UACGGAGGAUCCGAGCGUUAUCCGGAUUUAUUGGGUUUAAAGGGUGCGUAGGCGGAAGAAUAAGUCAGUGGUGAAAGUUUGCAGCUCAACUGUAAAAUUGCCGUUGAAACUGUUUUUCUUGAGUGUAAAUGAGGUAGGCGGAAUGUGUUGUGUAGCGGUGAAAUGCUUAGAUAUGACACAGAACACCGAUUGCGAAGGCAGCUUACUAAGAUACAACUGACGCUGAGGCACGAAAGCGUGGGGAUCGAACAGGAUUAGAUACCCUGGUAGUCCACGCAGUAAACGAUGAUUACUAGCUGUUUGCGAUAUACUGUAAGUGGCUAAGCGAAAGCGAUAAGUAAUCCACCUGGGGAGUACGUUCGCAAGAAUGAA